RNAcentral lists this ribosomal RNA (503 nucleotides) under uncultured bacterium. Its description in RNAcentral is "partial 16S ribosomal RNA". It matches the Rfam family "Bacterial small subunit ribosomal RNA", at positions 30 to 523 of the family's 1533-position model. The record is from RNAcentral.
AUUGAACGCUGGCGGCAGGCCUAACACAUGCAAGUCGAGCGGUAACACAGGGAGCUUGCCCUGGGUGACGAGCGGCGGACGGGUGAGUAAUGUCUGGGAAACUGCCUGAUGGAGGGGGAUAACUACUGGAAACGGUAGCUAAUACCGCAUAACGUCGCAAGACCAAAGAGGGGGACCUUCGGGCCUCUUGCCAUCAGAUGUGCCCAGAUGGGAUUAGCUAGUAGGUGGGGUAAUGGCUCACCUAGGCGACGAUCCCUAGCUGGUCUGAGAGGAUGACCAGCCACCCUGGAACUGAGACACGGUCCAGACUCCUACGGGAGGCAGCAGUGGGGAAUAUUGCACAAUGGGCGCAAGCCUGAUGCAGCCAUGCCGCGUGUAUGAAGAAGGCCUUCGGGUUGUAAAGUACUUUCAGCGGGGAGGAAGGUGUUGAGGUUAACAACCUCAGCAAUUGACGUUACCCGCAGAAGAAGCACCGGCUAACUCCGUGCCAGCAGCCGCAGUAA